UACGGAGGGAGCUAGCGUUAUUCGGAAUUACUGGGCGUAAAGCGCACGUAGGCGGCUUUGUAAGUAAGAGGUGAAAGCCCAGAGCUCAACUCUGGAAUUGCCUUUUAGACUGCAUCGCUUGAAUCAUGGAGAGGUCAGUGGAAUUCCGAGUGUAGAGGUGAAAUUCGUAGAUAUUAGGAAGAACACCAGUGGCGAAGGCGGCCCACUGGAUCGGUACUGACGCUGAGGUGCGAAAGCGUGGGGAGCAAACAGG
RNAcentral lists this ribosomal RNA (253 nucleotides) under uncultured bacterium. RNAcentral describes it as "partial 16S ribosomal RNA". It matches the Rfam family "Bacterial small subunit ribosomal RNA", at positions 524 to 776 of the family's 1533-position model. The record is from RNAcentral.